RNAcentral lists this ribosomal RNA (435 nucleotides) under uncultured anaerobic ammonium-oxidizing bacterium. RNAcentral describes it as "bacterial SSU rRNA". It matches the Rfam family "Bacterial small subunit ribosomal RNA", at positions 383 to 810 of the family's 1533-position model. The record is from RNAcentral.
GUGAUCAAGCGACGCCGCGUGCGGGAUGAAGGCCUUCGGGUUGUAAACCGCUGUCACAGGUUAUGAACGACUCGGCGUUAAUAGCGCUGAGUCUUGACAAAGGCCUGAGAGGAAGCCACGGCUAACUUCGUGCCAGCAGCCGCGGUAAGACGAAGGUGGCGACCGUUGUUCGGAAUCACUGGGCAUAAAGCGCGCGUAGGCGGCAAAGUAAGUCGGGUGUGAAAUCCCUCGGCCUAACCGAGGAACUGCGCUCGAAACUACUUUGCUUGAGGACGGAAGGGGAGUGUGGAAUUCCUGGUGGAGCGGUGAAAUGCGUUGAUAUCAGGAGGAACACCGGCGGCGAAGGCGACACUCUGGUCCGUUUCUGACGCUGAGGCGCGAAAGCUAGGGGAGCAAACGGGAUUAGAUACCCCGGUAGUCCUAGCCGUAAACGAU